UAGCGCAGCUAACGCGUGAAGUUGACCGCCUGGGGAGUACGGUCGCAAGAUCAAAACUCAAAGGAAUUGACGGGGACCCGCACAAGCGGUGGAUGAUGUGGAUUAAUUCGAUGCAACGCGAAAAACCUUACCUACCCUUGACAUGUCUGGAAUCCCGAAGAGAUUUGGGAGUGCUCGCAAGAGAACCGGAACACAGGUGCUGCAUGGCUGUCGUCAGCUCGUGUCGUGAGAUGUUGGGUUAAGUCCCGCAACGAGCGCAACCCUUGUUAUUAGUUGCUACGAAAGGGCACUCUAAUGAGACUGCCGGUGACAAACCGGAGGAAGGUGGGGAUGACGUCAAGUCCUCAUGGCCCUUAUGGGUAGGGCUUCACACGUCAUACAAUGGUCGGGACAGAGGGUAGCCAAACCGCAAGGUGGAGCCAAUCUCACAAACCCGAUCGUAGUCCGGAUUGCAGUCUGCAACUCGACUGCAUGAAGUCGGAAUCGCUAGUAAUCGCGGAUCAGAAUGUCGCGGUGAAUACGUUCCCGGGUCUUGUACACACCGCCCGUCACACCAUGGGAGUGGGUUUCACCAGAAGUAGUUAGCCUAACCGCAAGGGGGGCGAUUACCACGGUGGGAUUCAUGACUGGGGUGAAGUCGUAACAAGGUAACCAAGGGCGAA
Molecule: ribosomal RNA, 662 nt
Filed under: uncultured bacterium
Lineage: Bacteria
Description: bacterial SSU rRNA
Rfam family: Bacterial small subunit ribosomal RNA
Source: RNAcentral